RNAcentral lists this transfer RNA (64 nucleotides) under Cryptonema producta. RNAcentral's name for it is "tRNA-Gly". The record is from RNAcentral. Lineage: Eukaryota; Metazoa; Mollusca; Bivalvia; Venerida; Veneridae.
AUAGUAGUAGUAUAAAUAGUAUUACUGUCUUCCAAACAGUGGGUUCGGUGGGUCGACUACUAUA